RNAcentral lists this ribosomal RNA (254 nucleotides) under uncultured bacterium. RNAcentral describes it as "partial small subunit ribosomal RNA". It matches the Rfam family "Bacterial small subunit ribosomal RNA", at positions 26 to 285 of the family's 1533-position model. The record is from RNAcentral.
AGGACGAACGCUGGCGGCGUGCUUAACACAUGCAAGUCGAGCGGAAGGGCCCUUCGGGGUACUCGAGCGGCGAACGGGUGAGUAACACGUGAGUAAUCUGCCCCUAGCUCUGGGAUAGCUCCGGGAAACCGGGAUUAAUACUGGAUACGACCACCUUAGACAUCUUUUGUGGUGGAAAGAAUUUCGGCUAGGGAUGAGCUCGCGGCCUAUCAGCUUGUUGGUGGGGUAACGGCCUACCAAGGCGACGACGGGUA